This 448-nucleotide ribosomal RNA is filed under the name uncultured bacterium. RNAcentral's name for it is "bacterial SSU rRNA". It matches the Rfam family "Bacterial small subunit ribosomal RNA", at positions 329 to 794 of the family's 1533-position model. The record is from RNAcentral.
GCCCAGACUCCUACGGGAGGCAGCAGUGGGGAAUAUUGCACAAUGGGGGGAACCCUGAUGCAGCGACGCCGCGUGAGUGAAGAAGUAUUUCGGUAUGUAAAGCUCUAUCAGCAGGGAAGAAAAUGACGGUACCUGACUAAGAAGCCCCGGCUAACUACGUGCCAGCAGCCGCGGUAAUACGUAGGGGGCAAGCGUUAUCCGGAAUUACUGGGUGUAAAGGGAGCGUAGACGGCGAGGUAAGCCUGAAGUGGAAGCCCGCGGCCCAACCGCGGAACUGCUUUGGGAACUGUUUUGCUGGAGUAUGGGAGGGGUAAGCGGAAUUCCUGGUGUAGCGGUGAAAUGCGUAGAUAUCAGGAGGAACACCGGUGGCGAAGGCGGCUUACUGGACCAUAACUGACGUGGAGGCUCGAAAGCGUGGGGAGCGAACAGGAUUAGAUACCCCGGUACA